Molecule: ribosomal RNA, 510 nt
Filed under: uncultured bacterium
Lineage: Bacteria
Description: partial 16S ribosomal RNA
Rfam family: Bacterial small subunit ribosomal RNA
Source: RNAcentral
GACGAACGCUGGCGGCGUGCUUAACACAUGCAAGUCGAACGAAGAGCGAUGGAAGCUUGCUUCUAUCAAUCUUAGUGGCGAACGGGUGAGUAACGCGUAAUCAACCUGCCCUUCAGAGGGGGACAACAGUUGGAAACGACUGCUAAUACCGCAUACGAUCUAACCUCGGCAUCGAGGAUGGAUGAAAGGUGGCCUCUAUUUAUAAGCUAUCACUGAAGGAGGGGAUUGCGUCUGAUUAGCUAGUUGGAGGGGUAACGGCCCACCAAGGCGAUGAUCAGUAGCCGGUCUGAGAGGAUGAACGGCCACAUUGGGACUGAGACACGGCCCAGACUCCUACGGGAGGCAGCAGUGGGGAAUCUUCCGCAAUGGACGAAAGUCUGACGGAGCAACGCCGCGUGAGUGAUGACGGCCUUCGGGUUGUAAAGCUCUGUUAAUCGGGACGAAAGGCCUCCUUGCGAAUAGUUAGAAGGAUUGACGGUACCGGAAUAGAAAGCCACGGCUAACUACGUG